UCUUCUUUUUACUUAAGACUUUUCCAUUUGUUUUCUUGCAAUUGCCCAGAUCAUUAAGAUCACAGCAAAUAAUGCCCCAGUCUGUCUACCUGAGGAAGUCUUCUUGGGUGAGUCUGCUAAGAUAGUCACUUGAAGCUGAAAGAGAUUAAGAUGGAGUGCCUAAUGGUAUGGGCAGAGUUUUGUCUGCAGAGCCCUCAACUCGUCAGUGCCUUUAACACCAAGGUGGCCACUAUCUCACAGUGGUCAAUGUGGCCUUGGUCCUUCCUUUGCAAGGAAAUGCAGCUUUGACACACAGGCUCAGG
RNAcentral lists this long non-coding RNA (302 nucleotides) under Bos taurus (domestic cattle). RNAcentral describes it as "long non-coding RNA NONBTAT017766". Lineage: Eukaryota; Metazoa; Chordata; Mammalia; Artiodactyla; Bovidae. The record is from RNAcentral.